UACGUAGGUGUCAAGCGUUAUCCGGAUUUACUGGGCGUAAAGGGAGCGCAGGCGGCGCGCCAAGUCUGAUGUGAAACCCCGGGGCUCAACCCCGGGCAUGCAUUGGAAACUGGCGGGCUGGAGUGCCGGAGAGGUAAGCGGAAUUCCUAGUGUAGCGGUGAAAUGCGUAGAUAUUAGGAGGAACACCAGUGGCGAAGGCGGCUUACUGGACGGCAACUGGCGCUGAGGCUAGAAAGCGUGGGGAGCAAACAGG
This 253-nucleotide ribosomal RNA is filed under the name uncultured bacterium. RNAcentral describes it as "partial 16S ribosomal RNA". It matches the Rfam family "Bacterial small subunit ribosomal RNA", at positions 524 to 776 of the family's 1533-position model. The record is from RNAcentral.